This 9402-nucleotide long non-coding RNA is filed under the name Triticum aestivum (bread wheat). RNAcentral's name for it is "long non-coding RNA (TAES_LNC005605)". Lineage: Eukaryota; Viridiplantae; Streptophyta; Magnoliopsida; Poales; Poaceae. The record is from RNAcentral.
AAGUUAUACUCCCUUCACCAGUUGGGCUUAACAAGGACAUAAUUAAUUCUCUGUUGGUAAUUAGAAGGAAAAAAAUCUGGUUGGAGAAAACUUCUCUUUUGCUUAAUUGUUUACUUCAUAAUUUUAGUAAAAAAAAUCAUUUUUUUCAGGUUAGUAGUAUGGGAGUACCUGUCAAGACUGACUUUUGGAAGUUAUGCUAGCCUCAUCAGUUGGGCUUUCUAUACAAAACUAGACUCAAUAUAAUUUAUUUUGGUGCUUGCGAUGAGUAUUAGACAGAGGGGUGAUGACCACAUAGUUCACCCAGUGUAUCUGUUCAUGUAUGUCAUUAAUUAUCUAAUUAGACAAAAAAAACUCUCUCUGUAUGGUGUUUGUGAUGAUGCUGUCAAUUUACUAAACACUAAAAUACCAGGUUGUUAUUUUCAAAUCUAGCAAAUUAAUUUUCUCUAUUGCUUCUUUUCCAGGCAGAAGUUUUAGUCUAUUAUGUUCCAUGAGUCUUACUGUCAAAAAAAAUAUAUGGUAGCAUCAGAAGUUGUCCCCAUCAGAUAAAACACUGCCUAAUAGAUUCAUUCUAUUACUGUAUAGCCAUGGUGACAAAAAUAUUCAGAUAACAAGAAACAAUUCUGUCAAAUAUUUUCAACGGAGAUACUAUUGCGGUCUAUAAGAAAAAAAUGUUAAUUAUUUAAUUAAACAGAAAACUAUGUUAUUUAUACCAACAGAUGCUAAACAAUCAGACUACCUGACACAAAAGUAUAUAUAUACAUUAGUUAAAUUUCAUUCCAAAAAUAGAUGAUGUAGUGGUAGAUGUUAAUCGUACAAAAACACGAGGAUGACAAACAUAAAUUAAUCACAUAUAUUAUCAUCACAGGUCGAUCUAACUGGUGGUAGUUAUUCUUUGCACUGAAAACAAAGUGGAAUCAAACGAUUCAAACAACCAAAAAGAAGGAAACAAAGGAUGCUUACGGAUCUGAAUGAGUUAGGGCGCUCCACUACUUGCAAGUAGAUCCAGCGACUCAAUGGCAGAGCUACUCUCGGCGAUGCCAUGAAGCCACCCUGGUUCUACCCGGAAGUCAUCACUGAAAUUACAACAAGAAAUAUGAAGUAAUUAGUAUUUUUUUUCCAUGGACAUAUGACCGCCGGCCAGUUGCCUUUGUGCUCAUGCCGGUGUUGUACCAAUGAAUUGACUCCAUCACUGUAGCGACCUGGAAGAACAUCAACUGUUUGUGGAGUUGGGAAUUUCUUCUCCGAGGAGAGAAAUGUUUAGUACGUCUCCAAAUCACUCCACUGUCCUGCCGGACAAAGAUGAGUUUAAUAUGGCCCGUCGACACAGAGAAGGCCUGCUGUCACAUACCGCUUAUUGGGCUGUAACAUUAGUCUCAUUCCAACACCACAUAUCCAACAAAGAAGCUUAUACCAAAGAGAAAGCUACAAAUUGGAUGAUUGAUCCCUAUGAAAUUGAUGUUACACAUAUUUUAUUUCAAAAAGGGGAUUACCCGGGCCUCUGCAUCAAAUGAUGCACACAUUCAUAUUAAAGGGCAGCCCCAGUGCAUGUAGCUCCCACUUGCGCAGGGUCUGAGGAAGGGUCCGACCACUUUGGGUCUAUUGUACGCAGCCUUUCCCUACAUUUCUGUAAGAGGCUGUUUCCAGGACUUGAACCCGUGACCUCAUGGUCACAAGGCAACAGCUUUACCACUGCGCCAAGGCUCCCCUUCAUGCACACAUUCAUAUUAUUAAACAUAAAUCAAGUUCCAAACACGGAGUUCCAGACUUAUUUCAUCAAGUAGUUUUCUUGUAUUUAAACUCAAUUCCUUCAAUUUCUCUGAGCCGUGAGCUUAUAUUAGCGGUGAGCUCAUCUACAUUCUGCGUUGUGAACUCAUUUAGUUUUAUCUAUGAACUCAUUAGGUGAACUCAUCACGGUUUUUUGGCAGAUGUGAACUUAUUUCAUAUUCAUCUAUGAAUCAUUGUUGAAGUGUCUGUAUAUCUCUCCCAUGCCAAUGUACAGAAAUUUGAGGUCUACAUACUUUUGCCACUUCUACCUACAAUUCCAUUGCUGUCUUUGUAUAAGCUAUAGCAAGUGCAACAAAACAGAUUGCAACAAGUAGCUUAUGAACUGAAAUUUGUGGUAUUAUUCAUUUGUUGUAUUGUCGCUCAGUUCAUCGUGGUUGUGAAGCUAAACGUGACAUGCUAUUCUUGACGUAAUUUCCAAAUUGCAAUCCAUAAUCAAGCAAAAGACUACAAUAAAUGUGACUUACAUGUUGCUUGCAUUCAACACCUUCAGGACCUGCACACGCAUCCAUCUCCUCCUCCGGCCGUUGCUGCCAUUAAGCCACUUGCUCAGGACCUGCACAAGGCAUCCACCUUCUCUUCAGCACCAGUCUCGCCACUAGAAUGCUUCUCCAGCAGGGGAGGGCGAUCUGCGCCGAUGCGCGCAGGGGAGGGCAAGCACCCGCGGAGAGCUGCGCUGUCACGCGCGUGCGUGGGGGAGAACCCGCGGCAAGCUGCGGUGGCUUGUGUAGGUAUCUGCAAGGCGAGGACGAGCUGCGCCGGCGCCUACAGACAUGGACAAGCACCGGCGACGAACCACAGUGGCUCGCGCAGGCAUCAGCAAGGCAUGGGCCAUCGGCGGGGGAGCUACGGUUGCUCGCACACGCGUGGGCAAGCUAUGGCCCAGAGAUGCGGUGGCUUCCGCAAGCAGCAGUGGGGUACGGCGACGAGCUAGCCCGAGAGCAAUCCUUAUCCAACCAGUCCACACACAACAGAUAAGGUUAGAUAGCAUCAGGGGCACUUUGGUCCUUUCAAGUGCUAGAAAAUGGAAAAGAAAAAGAAAUGGCAUGGUAAUGAAAGUGCACUGAACUGGGUGGCAUUUUUAUGAAGUAAGUACUAUUAAAAGCAGAAAAUAACCUAUUUUCUUCUAAAAAACAAUAUAACUCUUACUUUUUUGUCGGGUUGGCUCACGCCCAAACUGAGCCACAAGGCAGUCAACUCCUUCAGACUAACUAAUAUCAAUUAGUUGAUUCGGCAUUUUUUUGCACUGCCUAGCCUCGAUUUGUUUUUCAUAUGAAGUGACUCACAUGCUAAUUAAUUCUUCCUCCCACCUCGCUUAUGUUGAUUUUGAUUAAUUAAAACUUAUUCUGCCAGUCAACAAUGUAUAGAUAUGUUGACUUUUAUCUUUCUGUACUAUUUAUCUUUCGCUCGUCUACUGCACCGAAUUCAUUGUAGUGGUCAAGCAAAAAGAAAACUUCAGUUUAAACACUUUGUGUGAAAAUAAAUAAAGAUACAUGCGUCUAAGUUUACAACCUUAUUAAACAAACAAAGUAGCUCUCAUGUCCACUUUAUAUUCUGUCAGAGAAAUCAAGGCAAACAAGGAUUCUUAAAAUAAAAAAGGUAAUCUCUAAUUUCAAGAUAGUUUGCAAUCCAUCAAGAUCUGGGGCAUUCAUCAAUUCAAAACGGACUAAGUUUGAAUGAAAUGAAAGCAACUUCAACAUUGUGUACAUAGGGAACAAACCACCAAGAACCAAAGCAUAAGAACUAGCCUCAUCUCUUUACCACUACAUCACUGAGACAAACCCAGCUGGACGAUCAACAUCUUAUCUACAAAAGAACAAGAGCUUUAUAAUUCUGUGUCCAGUAGCCACUAUCACUAUCUACUGUAGAUCACGUAUGCACGUACCAACUAGAUGUAUUCUUUUCUUGUAUGAACUACUUUGCAAUGAAUCAAGUCUUGGGACGAGUUACCAAAUAUUACCAAAAAAACAAAUAGUUUGUAAAUUCAUGUGGCGCGGCGUGCCGCCGCGCACUACCUGCUAGUAAUGUUUACAUUGGUAACUAACGUUGCUCAUGCAUGGAUUGUAAAAUUCAUUCUGACAUUGCAGUUUUGUACAUUAGGUUUACAUUUUAACUUUUAACUGCCCGCUCACUCUGAUUUCCUUGCUCAUUUUGAUUUGUUAUAAAAACAGCUUUUAGGUUACCUUUAGAUUUCCAAAGUGCAGAUUUUUUUAUGCUGGGAGUUGUAGUGAGCUUCUUUCACAGGCUUGGUGCAAGUUUCAUAUUGGGUCUUUUAGCUUUUGUUUAUGAAUUGUAUUCCUGGGAAAUCAGCAUCUUAAUGUGUUUUUUUUCUCUUACACAUUUGCCUUGUGGUACUGGGUUGGGAGAUGGUCCUCAUUAUUCACAUUAAGUUCUUAACUGUGACCCUCGAUGUCACCUUUACUUUCUCUUAUCUUUACAAUUGAUAAGGACACAAUCUUGCUUCUAUUUUUGUAGUAUCUGAUCAUUUAGGAGAUCAAAGAAAUCCAGAUAGGAUAUUACUGGUGUCAAAUAUGCAUAUGAUUAUAUAUGUGACGUUCACUGUGCGAUUAUUGGUUAAUUAGGUACCUCGUACUCCUCACUGCAUGAAACCAAUUGAUGAUUUGGCUACUUCUUGUCUAGAAGAUAGCACAUCUUAUUCAGUUUCUUUUCAUAAUACGGUAAUUGUCAUUUUGUCUCAAUUGUUGCAAUCUUUUCGACAACUCUUGAAGAGAAAAAUCUUUUGCUGGUAUUCACUUAUAGGUUUGAAUUCUGAACAGUAAACAUCAUAGACAUGAGCUAUGAUUUUUUUAUACUGCUUGCUAAUCCUGCACUUUCAUCAAGUUAUAUUGGUUUGUUUCAAUGCAAAUUUGGUAGCUGAUACUUGUGUCAUUUCUAUGAUUCAGGCCGUUUGGUGAUUUGUAAGGAAUUGGCGCAUCUUUGUUUGAAGUCAGCUCUUCAUUUCUGGGUCACUACUUUCAUGCUACCACCUAACGUUGAGUUCAUGGGGAACCUCUGAUUACCUUGACCUUCCUGCCAGUAUUUAAGCAAUCUUUUGAUGCUAUGUUUAUCCAAACGUCAUUUGGACUUGAUGAUAUUUAGCAAGGUGUACUGUUAAAUUAUGCUUAUUUUGGACGAUGCAUUGCUUUGGUCGUAUUCUGUAAUAUUCAUCGCAUUUCGACUUCUGUAUUGUUCCUUCUUGCCUUGGUAUUUUGCAGAUUUGGCCAUUGUGGGUCGAUGAUUGUCAAAGCUUUUAUUUACGUAUCUAGCGAUAGUUGAAUCCUUUUUUUAAGGAGGAGUACCACCGUCCUGUGGAUUGUAUGAUGCACACAACCAUUUAUUAAAGCAAACCAAGUAUCUAAGUUCCAAGCAAUGACUUGGAAAAAGUAAAAAUAAAGAUUACAUGGUGAAUUGCCAUAACUCGCAAAAAUAGGACAACAUGCAUACACACAUAUUCGGAAAAAGUAGCGAUACUUGAAUCUUGAAUUUGGAUAGUACAAGGAUGUGUUUGGAUAGUUGGAUCUUGAAUUUAGAUAGUACGAGGAUGUGUUUGGUUGUUGGCAUUCUUCCCAUGCAGACCCUGACGAUGCCAAAAUAGACGUUUGGUUAGCUAGGAUGCACUGAAUUCAUGACUCGCACGGUUCUUAAAGCAUCUCUGGGCUGGGAGAGGAAUUCACAUGUUUCCAAGGGAUGCAUCGUUGCACGCGGUUACACGCGUUGGAAGAACGAGAGACGGGAUGCUUCGGUCAUAACUCCACUCACCAUUCAAACCCCUAUUAUUUCACCACCCCUUCUUUGCCAUUGAAGGCCGGCUUUGCUCGACCAUCUUACUACUUGAAUCCUUGUCCCCUACACUAGUGCUCACCUCUGGUGGCUCACCGGCAUUGAGGCAAGGAGCCUCAAAUCGGGGGAUAUGGAGAGGAGGCUCAAGUCUUCUUUUCCCAUCUUCACCAAGCCGCGCUCGGCAUGUAUUGAGCACCCAUCAAUGGCUGGUACCUUGAGGGCUGCCUGUGAGUGUGCGGGUGUGGGGGCGGGGACAUCAUUUGCGGUUGUAUAGAGUUCCAAUGAGGGUGCCAGGAAAUCCCUAGCUUUGGAGGCAGGGAUUCUGACACCCGCCACGGCUCCCGCAGCUGGAGUGUUGGGGUCUUCUUCUUCGGCUCUGGCAUCAACACCUCUAUCGCAUGCGGCCACUGUAAGUUUUUCUAUCUACAAGAAGUUACAUUAGUUCGUAAACUUUGAUUGGAGGAUAGAAGAGGGGAUUGGAUAUGCGGUUAGGGUGUUUUAGGCCGAUUUACGAUGCUUUCAUGUCCACCUCAAGCGGAAUGCUUAGUUCCUAGGGGAUUCGGUACGCAGUUAGAGUAUUUCAUAUAUGUGCAUUUGAUUAGCAUGACUCGAUUAGAUUGUACACAUAACAAAUUUGUGGCAGACAAUGUGUAUGUCAAUUUGGAUUGUACAUGCACAUUGCUAGAUUGUGCAUUGCUUUGUCUUAGAUCAUGCCAAUGUGCAUGUCAAUGGUUAUGCUAGAUUGUGCACUGCUUUGUCUUAGAUCUCGCUAAUGUGCAUGUCAAUGGUUAUCCUCACUGCUUUGUCUUAUAUCUCGCCAAUGUGCAAUGCCCAUGCUUAUGCUUCAAUUUUGAAUUGUCGAUGUCUUUGCAUGUCCAUGAUUGUGCAAUGCCUUUGCGUUAGAUCAUGCCAAUGUGCGAUGUCCAUGCUUAAUCUUAUUCUGAACUACCGAUGUCUUUGCACGUCCAUAGUUGUGCAAUGCCUUUUUUGUUAGAUCGUGUCAACGUGCAAUGUCCAUGCUUAUGAUUCGCUUUUGUGCAACCUAUGUAUUUGCAUGUCCAUGAUUAUGCAAUGACUUUUGUGUUAGAUCAUGCCAAUACACAAUGUCCAGGAUUAUGCUUCACUUAUGCACUUCCUAUGUCUUUGCAUGUCAAUGAUUUCUCCUUGAGUUGUGCACUUCCUUGAUUUAUUGUGCAAUGAUAAUCACCAAUGUAUGCUUAAUAGACAAGGUGAUGAAGACCAAGUGACACGUCAUGGGAGGGGGUGGCUGCCAUUCAUCGCCUGGCUUCCAGGAUGUGCUCCGCUCAACCCAUGGGCAUUAAGCCUAAAUUGCCGGGGAGGAGGGAGGCGGCGGUAUCGCCUCUGUGCCAUCAUGUCCACUGACCCAAUCUAGGCCACAUGCCGAGAGAACGGUACAUGUCGGUUCUAUGUCCAUAUGGAUAUGGACAACAUGGCCAUGUUUGUCGUCUUGAUGGCUUUCCAAAAGCCCCUCAAGAACUGGCUCGAGAUACGCCUUCCCAUUGCAUAUCAGUGGCCUCCUGCCGGUGGUGUGAGGAAUGGGUGCAGGUGUCCGAGUUUGGUGACCAGGUGUUGUUGUUUCGAAACUAGAGUGAGUGCUGGCAGAAGCACCACGUGAAGUAGGAGGAAGUCAUCGUCUUUAAGCUGACGGGCGGGGGCUUCAAGGUAAAUAUCUAUGGCAAUGUCACAUCCACUACUAAGCCCUAUGCUUGGCAUACCUGGGGCUAUGCGGCCAGAAUUGCUUCCACGCUAUCUAAAUAGUAGUGUAAGUAGUGUUUGUUGUUGAAAUGUAUAUAUUUUGUCUAGAGGACAAAAGCUCUCAUGUUAUGUUGCGCAUGUGAUGCCCUUGUUGUCUUAAAACAUGUUACCUUCCCUAAUUAAUAUCCUGAUAUUACAGAGCUAAGUGUUUAAGUCAGUUGCCCCAAUUACUCUGAGUAUGUUGCCUUCAAAUCAUGCAAUUUUGUUCUAAUCGUGUUAUUUUAGUAUGUAGUGUCAUGUUUAGGAUGAUGUGUAGCAUUGGCAUGGUAAGCUUACCAAAUUUGAAGGGGUGGAUAUAACGCCUCAUUGCACAUAAAAACACCCAUGAAAAUGGAGCCGGGGGCUAUAGGUUCACUAGAGGCAUCUCUCUCAUAAGGAUAGGAUCGGUGGGUAAACAAAUUACUGUUGGACAAUUGACAGAAUUGCACAUAAUUAUGAUUGUAAUUCUUCAUGGCAUAAUUCAUAUAUAGGCAUGACGUUCAUGACAAGUAGACCGUUAAACUUACUAACACCUACUACUAUUACUCCACCUCAUGACUGUUAUCCAGCAUGCAUCUAAAAGUAUUAAGUUCAUACAAACGGAGUAACGGAUUAAGCAAGAUGACAUAAUGCAGACAAAGUAAGACCAAGCAAUAUGUUCAAACCCUGUUGUUUUAUCCUUAGUAGUAACAAUACAAUACGUGCCUUGCCCUUUCUGUCACUGGGUAAGACUAGCCGCAAGAUUGAAUCCACUCCCUCUGAAGAUCUACUCAUCCAAUUGACCAAAGAAGACUCAUAGAUCAAAAAGCAUACAUAGCUAUAAAAUCACACAUAAAUUAAAUCUCACAAGGCUCAAAUAUUUUCAAUGAAUAGUCUAAUCAUAAACCCACAAAUUCAUCAGAUCACAACAAACACACCGAAAGAAUUACAUCGAAUAGAUCUCAAAGAAGAUAAUUGCAUUGGAGAUCAAAAGAGACAGACAAAGCCAUCUAGCUACUUCUAUGGACCCGUAGGUCUUGUAGGAAAUGCUCACACAUCAGCAUGGAGGUAGAAAGGGCGAUGAAGAUAGCCUCCCCAAUGGUUCCCCCCUUCGGCGGAGUACCAAAAAAGGCCUCCAGAUGGGAUCGCGGAAGAACAGAGCCUUGAGCCAGCGGAAAAAUUGUUUCGGGCCUCGCUCCAUCUUUUUUGGAAUAUUAGGGAAUUAUAGCCCAGGAAUUAGGUCCAACGGAGCCUCACAGGCCCCACAAGUGCUGAUGGGACGCCCCUCCUACAAGGCGCACCGUGUGAUCUCGUCGCCCCCUCGUAUAUCUCCUGGUCUCUCCUCGAAGCUUCUAGUGUCUCUCAUAGUCCAGAAAAAAUCAACGUAAAGUUUCAUCAUGUUUUGACUUUGUUUGGUUUGGUUUUUCUGUGAAACAAAGAAAAUGGGUAAAAACAGAAAGUGACACUGCGCACUAAGUUAAUAGGCUAGUCCAUAAAAAUAAUAUAAAAUAUCCUAUAUAAAGCAUGCAAAAAUGAUAAUAUAAUAACAUGAAACAAUAAAAAAUUAUAGAUGUGUUGAAGACAUAUCUGUAAUCAUGUGAAAUUGGUUUUUGUUCAAUGUUUCGAUCAUGUGUUAUGUUGUUCUUCCUCUAGUGGUGUCGUGUGAACGUCGACUGCAUGACACUUCGCCAUGUUUGGGCCUAGGGGAAAUCAUUGUGGGAUUGUAGAUGAUGGCUUGAGGGAAUGCAGAAAGCUAUACCCUAAUUUAUGAGCCGUUUCGUAAGGGACUGGAUUAUGUUUCAUACUACGGUUAGAUUUAUCUUAAUUCUUCUCUUGUAGUUGUGGAUGCUUGCAAGAGGAGGGGUAAUCAUAAGUAGGUUAUUUGUUCAAGUAAGAACAACACACUAGCUCCACACAUGACAACUUAUCAAAGCAAUGAAUGCGAGUCAAUGAAUCAUGGUGAAAGUAACUAAAUGAAACUCAUGAGUGUCCUCGAGAACGUUUUAAUCACUAUAAGAAUUACUUUUGGCUUGUCCAUAGCAAUAUCUGUCAAAAUUGCCUUACCGCACCUGCAGAGAAUAUAAUCUGAAAAGCACUUAUCAAUUC